GUUAAAUUUAACUUUCAGACACACAGCAAAUCAUUUUGUAGUAUAAAUAUGUCCUAUGAAAUAUUUGAGACAUACUUAUACUAAAAAAAAUUGUUAUUGUUUUGAAAU
This 108-nucleotide microRNA precursor is filed under the name Ovis aries (sheep). Its description in RNAcentral is "miRNA (ENSOARG00000022825.1)". The stretch from base 35 to 86 matches the Rfam family "mir-1302 microRNA precursor family". The record is from RNAcentral. Lineage: Eukaryota; Metazoa; Chordata; Mammalia; Artiodactyla; Bovidae.